This 253-nucleotide ribosomal RNA is filed under the name uncultured bacterium. RNAcentral describes it as "partial 16S ribosomal RNA". It matches the Rfam family "Bacterial small subunit ribosomal RNA", at positions 524 to 776 of the family's 1533-position model. The record is from RNAcentral.
UACGUAGGGGGCUAGCGUUGUCCGGAUUUAUUGGGCGUAAAGAGCGUGUAGGCGGCCAGGUAGGUCCGGUGUGAAAACUCGAGGCUUAACCUCGAGAUGUCAUCGGAAACCAUCUGGCUAGAGUCCGGAAGAGGAAAGUGGAAUUCCUGGUGUAGCGGCGAAAUGCGCAGAUAUCAGGAAGAACACCAAUGGCGAAAGCAGCUUUCUGGGACGGUACUGACGCUGAGACGCGAAAGCGUAGGGAGCGAACAGG